UCUGAUUUAAUCUUUAGAAAGUGAGUUUUCUAUUACAAUGUUCCCUUUCAAGACUGUUAUAUGAUAAACCAUCCGCUUAGUUGGUGGCUAUGUUGAUGAUAAGGCCCUUAAUGGUUCAGAUUUCCCGAGGGAGGAGAAGGAGGUGCCGACAGGGGAUGGGAGCAACAAGUAUAAUUCAAAGAGUAUGUUUCGAAUCUGAGUUGCAUUGCACAGUAUUUUUAUUGCUCUAAGAAAUCCAUGGAGUUGUAUAUGGAACAUUCCUUCAUGUGAUAGGCAUAUUUGUUUACUAAAUCAAACUGCGUAGUUCCAACAAACAGACAUUCAAAUGCACCAUUUUACACUCUGAAAGUAGGAAGUUCAACUUCUUUAGUGUUUAGAAUGGAUCAGGUGUACUUCAGAUGUUUUCAGUUUUAAAUAAUUAUGCACAUUCUCACUCAUCAUGUGUGCAAAAAGUGGGUUUAUACAGAUUUAUACAAUUCAUUAUAACAUCCUGGAGCUGAAACUAAUUCGAUUAAUUUGGUCGUUCUCUGAUGUGUGCUCACAUUAAUACCAUUGGCAGCUUUGUAAUUCGCUAAGCUAAAUUCAAUAUUUCUGGUGUUCUGCGACAACUCAAGUCACCUUCAUAAUUUCUGGAAGCCAACUUUUUUUACACCAGGCCAAGGAGAUGGAGUGCAUGAUUCAGUCAGUUACAAAAUUCCAGUAGCCAAAACACUAACCAUUUUCCACAUAGAAAAUCAUUAAUUACCGUUCCCUCUCCAUUUGCCUCUUCAGCUCCUUAGGGUCUACAUCCAUGAUACAUUCUAGUUAGUUUAGCAUCUCACCAGUUAUCUGAAUAAUACAGCCGCAUCCAGUACAAUGGCAUUUUUACCUUGGUACAUGGCAUCUCAUCCCAGUUAUUUGAAUAAUAAAUAAGCAUCCAGUAAAAGGGCACUUUUACCUUGGGCAUGGCCAGGGGUGUGUAUGGUACAUUUUGCUCAUCAUUAAGCAGUGCUGUUGAAGCAUGUUUCUUCUCACGGGCUUCACGACGUCUUUUAAGAAUAUCAUCUUCCUCGCGUGCAUAAUACUCUUUUUUCCUCUGCCUCUUCAAUUCUUCAGGGUCUUUAUAAAUACAUACCGCAAGUUAGCACAUAAGCAACAGCAAAAACAGUAGCGCAAAGUAUAGGAACUGGUUGAUGAUAGUUACCCAAUGAUUGGUUGUUGCUUAUAUCCUGAAAUGGGGUGUGCGCCCCCGCACUAUUGGGAGAUGACAUACCUUCGCCUUCAUGUGAAUAUUCAUGUCAUUAAAUUUUGAGAAGCAUGGAAAUUGUGGAAAUUAAUCAUGAACACCACCAUCAGAUGCAAACAUAGUACACUGUCCUUUCUCUUGAUAUUGUGUUUCAGCAGAGUUCUACUUUGACAUUAAUAACAAUUUUGAAUGGCAGAUCCCCUUAUUGGACCACAUUCAGUUGUCAGCCCUGCUGUUUGACAUCCAUAGUGAUGCUGAUGAUGAUCUUGGCAAGGGUAAUGCUUUGAUUUCAUAGACAUGUUGCUUUGAUAGCUAGAGAAUUAAUUCUCAAGAGGACUUUGUGAUUUAGUGUUCGUAUGAUAUUUUUUAGUUGGGGCUGUUUUUUCAUGGAUUUUCUCUGUCCACUACAUCAUGAAUCUGGUAAUAUAAAAGUAAUAUCUAUUUCUGAUUAUGUAAUGACCGACUGUUAUCUUGCUUCUUACUCAUGUAUCUUCAGAUUUUAUGUAUCUGUCUGGGGUCUUGGUAUGUCCUUGAGCACGCAUGAGGUAUGUAUGUAUCUGUUGGUAUCUUAGUGCACUUUGUUGUUUCAGAGUAGCACUUUAUAAUUUGGCCCAUGCCUAUGAGUGUAUAUGCACGUACACCAUAGGUCCGAGCUGAAACUAAUUAUGAUUAAUUUUCUCGUUCUGUGAUGUGCGCUUACAUUAAUACCAUUGGCACCUUUGUAAAUUCUAUAAGCUAAAUCCAAUAUUUCAGGUGUUCUGCGAGAACUCAAGUCACCUUCUUAAAUUCUGAAAGCCAAGGAGAUAGGGUGCAUGAUUCAGUUAGUUACAAAAUUGCAGCAGCCAAAACACUAACCAUGUUCCACAUAGAAAACCAUUAAUUACAGAUAUAAGACAACGGCUUAUAGCAUUGUGUUGUGCAACUGUUUGUUUUUUAGAACUCUAUUCUGAAAAUUCUAAUCAUGUAUAAUGUUGCAACAGGUCAAACGAAGAAGUUGAACCUAAAGAAGGGCCGGGAAGAAUUACAGCUUCGUGUGGCCGGCUGGUUCAGGGGACGUGCAGGGCGGGCGCGGCACCGGGUGCCGGGGUAGGCUCCUGGGCACUGGCUAUCUCGCGGACGGGCCACACGGCGAGGGCAGGGUCGUGGGCGCCCGCUAUCUCGCUGAUGGAUUACACACUGUGAGCGGCAACAAUCGGCGGUGGCGAUUGUGCAGGGAGCGACUGAGCGGCGCAGGGCUCACGAGGUAUCGGUGCAGGCAGGAGACGGGGUUGGUGGGAGGCAUCGAGGUCAAGGGCGAGGGGAGCUGAUUUAGUUGAGUUUCCGUAUUAGUUUGCGAUCACAAUUGCGUGAUUGCAGGGGACGCGGGCUGGUAGUUGGAAUAUUCCUUCGGUGGUGGAGUAUGGUCAGUCAUGGGAAUUUGCUAAAUGCACACUGUGGAGGCAUUAGAUCAAUAAUGACGGUUGGAUUGAGAUUUAUGGGACUAAUUGUAUGGUGCUGAUUGGUUCGUAUGUUUUGUGGAACUAAUUGCUAGGUGCACAUAAGAAAAUUCUUGUUUGAUUGUUUAAUAGUAGUGGAGAU
This 2803-nucleotide long non-coding RNA is filed under the name Triticum aestivum (bread wheat). RNAcentral's name for it is "long non-coding RNA (TAES_LNC009983)". Lineage: Eukaryota; Viridiplantae; Streptophyta; Magnoliopsida; Poales; Poaceae. The record is from RNAcentral.